GGCACAGAAAUACAUGAUCAAUUAUUUAAUACAUUUUAUUUCAAAAAUAUAAAAUAUAUAUUUUAUAAAGAUAUAUUUAUGAUAUUUAAAUAAAAUAUUGUUAGGAAUAAAAUAUAUAGGAAUCUUGAUUUUAUUAUAUUUAUAAAUAAUAAAAAAUAGAUUAAAAGUAGAAUUUCCACAACAUUUUUGAUAGAUGCUGUUAAAUAAACUAUUUGAUACAUGUUUUAGAUACUUUCUAGGGUUUACUGCUGCUACUUUAUAGCAUAGUGCACGUUUAAACAAGCAGCUUGGCCCAAACAAACUGAGUUUAAAGAGCGUCCCAUUCGGGACGGGUUGCGAAUGAGAUCCAGCAGCAGUUCGGUGGGAGGUCCCUUUAAGUUUCCAUUGAGGGAGGCCGCACUAUGUCACAUGAUGAACAUGAUAUAAUAAAACAGCGAACAGAAAAGUGUGUGUGUCCAUGACUACAAAAUAAGACUAAAGCAACGCAGUCGGCCAGUACACGCCCCAUUUUCAGAGAUGGGGCUACUGGAGCUGCAGUGUUCCCAACAUCACCCAGUGAUGAUUUCGUAGUGCGGACCGGACUGCACCUGCUGCCACGCAUAAAACGUACUUCACAGAAACGCAAGAGGACGCAUGAAGUUAUCUGCGACUCCUUCAUAUGAUGAAUGACACAGUUAACGCAAACUCCUCGCGCGCAUGUGAGAACUGAGAAAUGUGCGGAUUGAGCAACAAACACCUGCUUGUCAAUGUGGCUGAAUGGAUAGUGAGAGAGAGAGGAGAGAGAGCCGGAGGUGAGUACACAUCGUCCGCACACAUUGUUUUGAUCUGUCCUGUGUGUUUUUUUAUCCCCACUGUUGGCUUGUGCUGGAGUGUUUAUAUGUCUGGGACAUUCACACUCACAUGGGCUGACACUCCUGACUUCCUUCAGAGAAUUGAUCUUGACACAUUUGUGGGUUGUUGAAUUUAAACAGAUUUGCAUAUGCAUACUUCUGAGGUGAUUUUUACAAAUUACGUAAAAUGAGAUUAAACUCGGACAAAAUUACUCAGAGUAUGGGAAAGACAACAUGCUCAUUGUAUUCUCUGUUAUGUCAUUUGUCAAGUUAUGUCAUGUUCACAAAUUAAACAGCAGCUGAAAACAACUGUACAACAUGACGAUUCCUACAGCUUGGAUGUAAUAUAAAUAUUUCUGUCUUUGUCUCAGUUGUUUCUCCUACACAACAAUGAAAUUGAGAUUUUAAAGGUUUUUUUUUAAAGAGAAAUAGUCUCUAUUAAAUCUCACACCCCUGUCUCAAAGAUCUAAAAGUCUCAAACUGAUAGGAUUUAAAAGUCUUCAAAAUUCAGAAAAUUCUAUAUGAACUUAAACAUUUCUUCCUUAUUUAAGCUACUAUUCCCUUUAAUUUUAUGCAACAAUGCUCUUAUAAUGUCAACGAAUGCCUCAUUUGUUUCUAACUCUAUUUUUGUAUUAGAAGAUACAUCUAAGUUGUUUUUCAAAGUCUCUCAAACUAUGAAAGAGUACUACAAAAGAUUGUAGUGAAGUCAAUAAGUUCACCACUCUCUGUCUGCAUGUGGUUAGGAUAUCACGCACAGUGAGAAAGGCAGAGGAAGGGCUGUGAACAGUACUACUGAAAUUAAUCUGUCACAAUAGGUCGGCUUCAGGAUGACUGAGCGCCGUGAUUGGCUGAAUGACAUGUCCCUCAAGCAUAUUUUGUUUGUGGUUGGAUGGCGCGUCCCUGGCUGAAUGCCAAACCUCCUGUGGGGAUUUUACCGCUUUCUUAGGAAAGCAAUGUGCUCUCUGGGGUUUCCGGGGGACUGAGGCCUCGCUACAGUUGUGCAAAAAUGAAACGCUUUGAAUCUCUACCUCGCUGCGCUUACGGCACAUAUAAAAGUGUCCUGUACUCAAAGCCAGAUCAAAGUUUGUGACGUGUGUAGUCUGAGAGUGUUGUUUUUAUCACUUGACGUGAGGUUUUGAAUUGAGUUUUCAAAGAUAAAUGGAAACACCAAAGCAGUAACAAAGAAGAUAUGUGGGGAGAUGAUUCAGAAAUAUGUAAAUGCAAAGUGAAGACAAAUUGUGGUGAGGGAAUAUGUCUUUUAAAUAUGGAUACAAAGAUGGAGUUGACACAUAAGUUGUGCUACAGACAAGAGGGAUACCAUAAAUCAUACAAUAAAGUGCUGUUACUUUUCA
Molecule: long non-coding RNA, 2182 nt
Organism: Cyprinus carpio (common carp)
Lineage: Eukaryota; Metazoa; Chordata; Actinopteri; Cypriniformes; Cyprinidae
Source: Ensembl